This 67-nucleotide transfer RNA is filed under the name unidentified. Its description in RNAcentral is "Cirrothauma sp. FMNH 309245 tRNA-Cys". The record is from RNAcentral.
GGUUAUAUAAUUUAAAUAUAAAAAUGUUAAAUUGCAAAUUUAAGAAUACAUAUAAUUGUUAUAACUU